UUCAAUGAUAAUAUUACUAAAUAACUCAUACAACAUAAAUCAAAUUCUUUAAACCUCAGUAUUCAAUUCACAGUCAAAACUCCACCUCAAGUCCUCCAAACUGACCCAACAUCAAUACAUAAAAAUCACAUCUCGCACCUCAUGCAGGUAAUCACAAUCCGUCGAUGCACAACUGAUACCGAGUGCCAUGUGCACAUACGAGUGCGUGGAAGAAAUUCAAAGUGUUACACUUAUGUUGCACGAUUAAUUAAGGUCAUAAACACGGAAAUAAUCAAGUAUCAUGCACACAGAUUUUUAAUUGAGCAAAUCACUCAACAAUUCUAGAAAAACAUAUAGAUUGAGUAAAACUUUCAGGAACACGGAAAAUAAUUCAAAAAACCCUAAUUUGAAAUCACUUAAAGAAGGAAAACAACCACGGAAAACUUGAAAGCACGUCAACACACAGAGAUUCGAACAACAUAAAUCAUAGAAAGCGAAACCUGAAGUAGCGUAGUACUUAAAAAACAGUUAGUAAUAGAGAAGUAAAAGAACCUAAAAGAAUAGGCAGGAAAGUUUGAAAAUACUUCAGAUACCUAGAGGUUUGACCAACAAACAACAAGAAAACAAACCCUAAUAUAAUAAAAUGUUCAAAAAGUCGAUUAACCAGUAAGGAAAUAAAGGAACUUUAGGAAAAAUCAGCGAUGAACUCAGAAUCGCUCCAGAUCUACAAAGAUCUGAACUGAUUCAAGUCCAAAUAUUAGGUUUCUGAAAUAAAAAAGAAAGGGUAAAGAGAAUUUGGCCUUUGAAUUAAAUAUUUGAGCCAUAAAACUUUGAUAGAAAUCACUUACAUGCCAUAGACAAACUCUUGAAGAGUUUUAAACGAGAUCUGGACCAGAUCUCUUCGAGGUUCUUCCACAAAACCACACAAUCGAGCAACCGGGGGAAAUAGAAAACACGCAGAGGCCUCGUACAACCAUGGAAAUCCAUAGAUCGAGUAGGAAUCAAAGAUAUUAGAACUGAUUUUGGGUGGUAGCGAUUAGUGUUAGGGCUUGGUCUCAGAGAGAACCAAAGAGAAUAGGGUUUCAGGGGAGGCUGUAGGGAGGAAAUGACUUAUG
This 1094-nucleotide long non-coding RNA is filed under the name Nicotiana benthamiana. Its description in RNAcentral is "long non-coding RNA (NBEN_LNC032540)". Lineage: Eukaryota; Viridiplantae; Streptophyta; Magnoliopsida; Solanales; Solanaceae. The record is from RNAcentral.